CGUUCCCAUGGCUUCUGGAGUCUUCUAGAUGAUAGAAAAUUGCCGCACACGUUAAUAUCUCUAUGUAAACCCGACUUGUGGGCCUUUCCUCCAUGUUUCCUGAUAACCCCCUGCAUAAAUAGACAAAUACCAAAACUCGUGGAAUUCUGUCAGAUAAAACCCUAAGUCUGGGUGUUGGUUGCAUUUGGAUCUUUUUCUUUGUUUAUUUGAUAAUUAAAUUUGGUACUUAAGGACCGUCAACAACUCCCCCAAGCUUAGUUCUUGCUCGUCCCUGAGCAAGGAUGGACUCAAGAGUUUCUGCAGUGUUUUCAUGCCUUAAAGGUACACAUGCGUUCAAACAAGAUCUCAUCUCUGGGUUAGGGUAAACUGUUAUGAUUUAAACUUACUCAUAUUACCUUCCACCAUGGGGCUUGUAACUGUCACUUGUGUCUUGAGUAGUUAAAGGAUAGAACGGUCAAGUCAGGCGCCAUGUAUCUUGUUCUUGAUCAACUAUAGCUCUGGAGUUUUUUUUGCAGAUUUUCAAAAAAAACUUAGAGAUUCCUUUAUGACUCUCUCUAGUCUCUCUUUUGUGGUAUUUCUGGAUCUUUACCAAGGCAGUAAUGGUGUAUGCCUUCUCUCAAAGUAUGUGGUAUUUUUGGUAUGAGGCAUAGUGACAUUGCCUGCUCUCUCACCCUACUCUAAUAAGGUUUUGAUAUUUGGAGCUCAUGUGUGGGAGACAGCUAAUACAUACUAAAAAGACACUUAUUGCAUAGUCAAACCAUGGAUCCAGAAGAACAAGUCAAUAAGUCAAAUCAAGAUGUGCAUGUGUGGAGAAUGAAUGGUGAUAAUGGUGAAAAUAAUGGUGAAAGUCUAAUUCUACUUUUGCUCUUUUGAGGGGGUACAUAGCUUCCUUGCACUUGAGGCUUUUGAGGGGAAUGAGAUGCUCUAUAUUUUAUUUUUCUUUUCUCUCAGGUGGGUAUCUUGUACCCCUAAUUCUACUGUCGGACACUUGUCCAUUUUUACCUCUCAUCUCAAUUUUUCUUUUUUUCGAGGUUUCAGGCACUUGCCCCUUUUUAUUUCCUCAUAUUCAUAUAUUUUUUUAGAGCACUCAUCCUCCUAGAAUAAUAUAGCAAGCGGUAGUAACAAAGAUAACUCGAGCAUUUAUUUCACAGGGAAUAAUAGGGAUAGGAAAAAGUUUUUGGCUAUUCUCUCCCGGAUAGGAGUAGAAUAAUUUUAGGUGAAUCUAGAGAUGGAAUUGAGUGGAUGUAUGUGGAUGCGUACUUCCGGAGUAGAAGUAGCAUGUAUGAGUGAACGUGUAAGUGAAUCUUGAUUUUAACCGCAUGACAAGCUCCUAAGGGUCUACAUUGCUUGACCACACUCAAUACUCAUAAGCAGUAAAAAGUAAAUGUAUGGUUCAUAGUCUAAUAAGCAUGUAUAUAUGGUUGUGGUAGAAUUUUAAACUCUCAUCAUAGAGGAACUGAUCAUGCAACAUUUUAAAGAUUUUCAAAGAUAAAAUUCUCCAGAAUUCUAGCAUCUCUAGGAAAAGAUAAACAGCAGAUCAACCUUCCCAUAUCGUAUCCGUUAAUGACUUAGACUUUAGAUCAAGUACUCUUCCCACAAGUUUAGGUUUAGAGCAAAUCUUAAUUCAUAACAGUCAUGCCUAAACUUGAGAGAGAUUUCAAUUUUGAGAACUAGUCAUGGCAG
This 1683-nucleotide long non-coding RNA is filed under the name Sorghum bicolor (sorghum). RNAcentral's name for it is "long non-coding RNA (SBIC_LNC010172)". The record is from RNAcentral. Lineage: Eukaryota; Viridiplantae; Streptophyta; Magnoliopsida; Poales; Poaceae.